GCGCGAGUGGUGUAGUGGUAACAUACCUGCCUUCCAAGCACGUGCCCAGGGUUCGAUUCCCUGUUCGCGCA
Molecule: non-coding RNA, 71 nt
Organism: Gorgonomyces haynaldii
Lineage: Eukaryota; Fungi; Chytridiomycota; Chytridiomycetes; Rhizophydiales; Gorgonomycetaceae
Source: the annotation of a GenBank genome assembly